GAACAACCUGACCUUUCUUGGGGAUUCUGACCAAUCUGCAGUGGAAGACGGCUAAUAUCUUUCAGGAUUUUCCAUGGUUAAGGACAGAAACCAGUUUCUACCUCCCACCAGCUAAAGGGCCUUUUUUGCUGGUCCACACCAGGGACAGGAUUCCUGCCUGGCUCUCUGUUAAUGCCCAGUAAAACCCACCUAGGCAAAACAUCUGGCUUCUCUAAAGAUGGAGUGAAAAUUGGCCCCUGGGAGAAGAAGAUUACAGGAGGACAUUAAACCUUUUGCUUUCCUACACCUACUCAGGUUUUACUUCAAGUUUGCACAAAAUCCUCGGUCCUGUCCUAGCCAUGUCUACCCAACCCCACCAUUUCAACAGAGUUUUGAACAAAAGAGAAGAAACGAAGACCUGGGAAUUUCCUUGUUUUUCAUGGCUGAUUUCUUAUACGUAUUUUAUAUAAUUAACUCACAAGGAAAGCUGAAAAUCUUAUAUCAAUAUGAAACUACAGUACUGGGCUGUAGGACACCUGGAAAUCAAAUCAGUAAUUACUAACACAGAGAUAGAUUGUACAUUCCCUGCUGGAAUUUACCCACAUUCUCAUUCAACAGCAACAAUAAAAUUAUGGCAGUGGUGAUCAGAAACAAAUUUUCAGAUUGCAACCUGUGUUGCUUGCCUAAUGUUCUGCCAAAUGCAGCCCAUCAGCACUUUUAAUUUAGAGUGAAAAACUGAGCAGAAAACAGAAGAAAAUGGAGAGAGGAUUUGAGGGGUUACUCCAUGGCUCAGCAGCAACUGCUGCAAAAGCCAUGUCUUGUGCAUGUGUUGGGAGUCAAUGCAGCAUCUGCAUUGGUUCCCCCUUCACUUCAAGGGAGUGGAGGCUUGAGAUGGGUGGUUGAGAACAAGUUGCUUGCAGAAACUCAUGAACUUUCCAUUAGGUGCACAUCUAUUAAGUGCACCAGAAAUUUUGAGUUCCAGACUGGAACUAAGUCACUCCUUGGUAC
Long non-coding RNA from Harpia harpyja (harpy eagle), 987 nucleotides. RefSeq lists it as uncharacterized. The transcript has 3 exons. The record is from RefSeq and is a predicted model, not a curated record. NCBI's taxonomy places the organism in Eukaryota, Metazoa, Chordata, Aves, Accipitriformes, Accipitridae.